Molecule: ribosomal RNA, 253 nt
Filed under: uncultured bacterium
Lineage: Bacteria
Description: partial 16S ribosomal RNA
Rfam family: Bacterial small subunit ribosomal RNA
Source: RNAcentral
UACGGAGGGUGCAAACGUUGCUCGGAAUCAUUGGGCGUAAAGCGCACGUAGGCGGUCUCGCAAGUUGGGUGUGAAAGCCCUCGGCUUAACCGAGGAAGUGCAUUCAAAACUACGAGACUUGAAUACUGGAGAGGGUUGCGGAAUUCCCGGUGUAGAGGUGAAAUUCGUAGAUAUCGGGAGGAACACCAGUGGCGAAGGCGGUUACCUGGACAGUUACUGACGCUCAGGCACGAAAGCAUGGGGAGCAAAAGGG